RNAcentral lists this ribosomal RNA (497 nucleotides) under uncultured bacterium. RNAcentral describes it as "partial 16S ribosomal RNA". It matches the Rfam family "Bacterial small subunit ribosomal RNA", at positions 28 to 507 of the family's 1533-position model. The record is from RNAcentral.
GACGAACGCUGGCGGCGUGCCUAAUACAUGCAAGUUGAGCGAUGAAGAUUGGUGCUUGCACCAAUUUGAAGAGCAGCGAACGGGUGAGUAACGCGUGGGGAAUCUGCCUUUGAGCGGGGGACAACAUUUGGAAACGAAUGCUAAUACCGCAUAAUAACUUUAAACAUAAGUUUUAAGUUUGAAAGAUGCAAUUGCAUCACUCAAAGAUGAUCCCGCGUUGUAUUAGCUAGUUGGUGAGGUAAAGGCUCACCAAGGCGAUGAUACAUAGCCGACCUGAGAGGGUGAUCGGCCACAUUGGGACUGAGACACGGCCCAAACUCCUACGGGAGGCAGCAGUAGGGAAUCUUCGGCAAUGGACGAAAGUCUGACCGAGCAACGCCGCGUGAUUGAAGAAGGUUUUCGGAUCGUAAAACUCUGUUGGUAGAGAAGAACGUUGGUGAGAGUGGAAAGCUCAUCAAGUGACGGUAACUACCCAGAAAGGGACGGCUAACUACGUG